Molecule: long non-coding RNA, 1765 nt
Filed under: Triticum aestivum (bread wheat)
Lineage: Eukaryota; Viridiplantae; Streptophyta; Magnoliopsida; Poales; Poaceae
Description: long non-coding RNA (TAES_LNC011370)
Source: RNAcentral
GCACAAGCGACGUCAUCUACUCUUUCACUAGUGUCGACCCUUGCUUUCAUUGCUAAUAAUACACGCAUGCUCCACAACUAAUACAGAAGAUGCAUUUCCAUCCCAUCUAGUAGGUGCUGACUCGAUGCAAACAAAUAAAAUAAAAUUAGUAGGUGUUGACUUCUCACACCCCAUAUAUGCUGAGCGAUGCUAACUGCUGUACCAAUGUGAUGUUGCUUGCUUGACUGAUGACUGGUUGUCAUUAACUAGAAAAAAGAAGAAGAAAACCUUGUCAAUUUAUUUGAGUAGAAUCAUGUAUCCAUUCAUUAGACAACCAGUACUACUACUUGUAUUUGCACGUUCGCUUCCUUGCUUGCUUGUAGCACUAUCAAGUGUGAGGAAAUUCAGUACUAGGAUGUGUGGAGCUGGGACGCUGUUGGAUCAUUAGGACUUGUAGCACUAUCAAGUUUGUACUGAUUGCAGAUAGAAAACCUUAUAAUUUUGUUUCUGUAAGCUAAACUUUGUGAUUUAAUUUCUGGAAGCUAAACAUUGUAAGUCUAUUAAGAAACUUGAGCAAAAUCAGUCCACAAGUUAGUUGAAGUCACAAGUGCCUUUUAUUGACAGAGUCUUCUGCCAGGGCGAAUGUUAUAUUCAAAACCACUUCUGAUCACUUUGUGUUUUCUUUUUUAAUAUUUUAUUGUGUCUUGCUUGUUGGGAAUUGAUCCAGUUAAGUGGCUGACUGGGAAUAUUAUGCUAUCAAGUUCGUGUCUUGGUGCGUCUGAGAAUGUUGUUUCUUUCUUUCUUUCUUCCUUUUGUUGCAAACUGAAAAGAAAGUGCAAUGUGAACCUGGAAGGUGCAUAUACUGCUACUACUUUUGUGUGCCAACUGCUAUACUAGUUGGUUUGUGAUGAGCCAAACAAGUCGACAACAGUAGUACUGUUGGUAGUUGGUGUUUAAUUUCAUCGCUGCCAUGGUAUUUAUUCUUUCGACAUGUCAUGUAUAUGCUUGGUUCCUUGAUGGGUGCACUUUCUAACACGCGCAGGUGCAAGACAGAGACACACCACCAUGCAAUGAUUCUUCUUCCACUCGCAGGCCUCCCACUCCGGUAACUCUUUUUCUGCUCUAGCAUAGCAUAGCUGGUAAGCAACCGAUCCUCUCUUUUGCUCUCUCUUGCUCUAUUAUCUUGCUCUGCGUGUGUCCAUGACCACACACCCCUUCUGCUAAGUUAUGUUCUGGCGAUGGUGAUUUCUGUCUAGUGCUUAUGAUGCUUUGGACUUGUAGUUUAGUGAUGCCAAGUGUUGCAUCGAUAAUAUUUGAUCAAAACCACCCAUUUAAGUUGAACAAUUGAAGAGAGCCUGCUGAAGUUUUUUGCAUGACUUGCACUUGAGCCAUGCAUAUUCAUAUUAUGUAUCUGUUUUCCUGUAUGUAUGGGUAUCUCAUUUUAACUAGUUGGAGGACAAAAAGCAUGGCACUAGCUUAAUUUGUGUUAUCAUUCUAAAUAAAUGUCAUUUUCUUGAAUGGUCUGUUCAAUAUAUUUGCCCCAAUUUUUCUUAUUUCUCUCUCAUUCAUGUAACAGGGUGACAGAGGAAGCCAUGUUGCAGUUUUGUUUGUUGCCAGCCCUGACUUCGGUCGUCCAGUGAGUUUGGCAUGUUGUUCAUCUGACUACGGUCGUCCAGCGAGUCUGUCAUGUUGUUCAUCUAACUAAGUCGUCCAGCGAGUCUGGCAUGUUGUCAUUUUCUUGUAAAGCAGUACCGUAUUACACUUGUAGAGCUCGUUAGUACACUUG